UAUACGCUUAAUUUUCGAAUGGUAAAGUCGAAAAGCGGGGGAACCAUUUUUUGGGGCGAAUCGUUGUAAAUACACGUAGGGAACCAUCUUUCCCGAGUCCGUCAGCUAACCUCGUCAGCAG
Molecule: small RNA, 121 nt
Filed under: uncultured Paenibacillus sp.
Lineage: Bacteria; Bacillati; Bacillota; Bacilli; Caryophanales; Paenibacillaceae
Description: ydaO/yuaA leader
Rfam family: c-di-AMP riboswitch aptamer (ydaO/yuaA leader)
About the family: This family represents a conserved RNA structure found upstream of the ydaO and yuaA genes in Bacillus subtilis and related genes in other bacteria. The ydaO/yuaA element is thought to act as a genetic "off" switch for the ydaO and yuaA genes in its native state. It is believed that the element may be triggered during osmotic shock leading to activation of ydaO, a predicted amino acid transporter gene, and members of the yuaA-yubG operon which code for KtrA and KtrB K+ transporters.
Source: RNAcentral